RNAcentral lists this ribosomal RNA (468 nucleotides) under uncultured bacterium. RNAcentral's name for it is "partial 16S ribosomal RNA". It matches the Rfam family "Bacterial small subunit ribosomal RNA", at positions 28 to 507 of the family's 1533-position model. The record is from RNAcentral.
GACGAACGCUGGCGGCGUGCUUAACACAUGCAAGUCGAACGGAAAGGCCCUGCUUUUGUGGGGUGCUCGAGUGGCGAACGGGUGAGUAACACGUGAGUAACCUGCCCUUGACUUUGGGAUAACUUCAGGAAACUGGGGCUAAUACCGGAUAGGAGCUCCUGCUGCAUGGUGGGGGUUGGAAAGUUUCGGCGGUUGGGGAUGGACUCGCGGCUUAUCAGCUUGUUGGUGGGGUAGUGGCUUACCAAGGCUUUGACGGGUAGCCGGCCUGAGAGGGUGACCGGCCACAUUGGGACUGAGAUACGGCCCAGACUCCUACCGGAGGCAGCAGUGGGGAAUAUAGCACAAUGGGCGGAAGCCUGAUGCAGCAACGCCGCGUGCGGGAUGACGGCCUGCGGGUUGUAAACCGCUUUCGCCUGUGACGAAGCGUGAGUGACGGUAAUGGGUAAAGAAGCACCGGCUAACUACGUG